Molecule: RNA transcript, 1367 nt
Organism: Oncorhynchus kisutch (coho salmon)
Lineage: Eukaryota; Metazoa; Chordata; Actinopteri; Salmoniformes; Salmonidae
Gene name: 4-hydroxy-2-oxoglutarate aldolase, mitochondrial-like
Exons: 6
Source: RefSeq, a predicted model, not a curated record
AUGUCGGCCACCAAGCCUACGGUAGUGAUGACAGAGAGGAUGGCGGGGGCGGGGCAGACCUGGUUCUCGUGGUAACGCCAUGCUUCUACAAGGGCAUGAUGGACAGCAGGGCGCUGGUUCACCACUUCACACAGGUGGCAGACAGUAGUCCAGUACCAGUAGUUCUGUACAGUUGUCCCGGCUAACACAGGUCUUGACCUCCCUGUUGAUGCUGUGGUGAGACUGGCCCAACACCCUAACAUACUGGGACUCAAGGACAGCGGAGGAGACAUCACCAGGAUCGCUCUGAUCGUUCACAAAACGAAGCCGCAGGAUUUUCAGGUUCUGGCGGGUUCCGCUGGGUUCCUUAUGGCGGCGUAUUCCGUGGGUUGUGUGGGCGGUGUGUGUGCGCUUGCCAACGUGCUGGGGCGUGAGGUGUGUGAGCUGGAGCAGCUGUGUGUGUCGGGACGGUGGGAAGAAGCCAGUGCUCUGCAGCAGCGCCUCAUAGAGCCCAACACUGCUGUGACCAGGAAGUUCGGCGUUCCCGCUCUCAAGCAGGCGAUGGAGUGGUUUGGUUACCACGGUGGCACCUGUCGCUCUCCUCUUCAACCGCUCUCAGAGGCCGAAUCACAGCAGCUUAGACUGGACUUUUCCACCAACGGCUGGCUCUGAAGGGGACAGGGGGCGGGACUGAGUAGAAGACAGGGGACUGGGCCUGCUCCAGGUUGAAGUUGGCGUCAUAGAAUAGAAUGCGUAGAACAUUAUGGCAUCAUUGACUUGAAUGUGGAUUUCCUUUCUACUCAUUCUAAUUAUAUGGUUGUCUCUAACCACAGAUCUAGGAUCAGAUGACUCUACACCCAGUCCUAACCUUAACCAUUAAGGAGUUGAGAAAAGAUGUGACCCUGUAUCAGUUGUUAGGGGCAACAUCAACCUACUGUGACUGUUUCAUACAUGCAUAGCUUCCUUCCCUUCCUGGCCUUACAUCUAAGAGGACUUGAUAGUUGGAAGCAAUAACCAAUCCAGUCCUUUCACCUAUCAGUGGUCUUGCUGCCUUGCUAUAUAGGAGGCCGUUGUGAGGGUGUUGUGUGUUAGAGGCAUGUCCACACUGUAGGACUACCCCAAGGCCUCCCACCUGUAAUGGCCAUAGGGGUUGUGUCCCACAUCACACCCUAUUCACUACAUAGUGCACUGCGGUUGACCAGAGCCCUAUGGGUCCUGGUUAAAUAGUAGUGCACUGUAUAGGGGAAUGGGUUGCCAUUUUGGGACGCACCCUUUGACAUGAAUUAAAUACAGCAGGAUAUAAAAAGACAUGUAAGGAAUCAGUUUGUUUAUAUUCCCCAAGGAUGUUUUUCAAAUAAAGAGAAAGACCAUCUACCCAGCAACCGUCA